AAGCAAAAGAGAUGUGUGUCACGGUGUCACAUGUCGCUAUGACUUCUGAGGAAACGUCAGAUGAUACGAUAAGAGGCAGAGGAAGGAAAACAGCUGACAUGACUAUCAGAACCACUACAAAACCUUUAACAUCACUUCAUCUCUGAGCUGAUACGUGAUGUUCUUGUUCAGGGAGGAGGUGGAGGGGUAGGGGCUGGACCAGCUGAGCCGUCGGCCUCUGUCACCUGCAUCACGCACGGUCAGAUCAACUGUGAAGGUGACAGACAGAUGACGCGUAAACUCACAGUGCUGAGAGAGAUCCAGAGUCUUGUUGGAGCCAGAUGUGCAGAGGGCUUCUGUCUUAUUCUCCAGGAAGAACACGGUGUGAUUGAGGGCCAUGACGAAAAGUUUUGUUUCAUAUCUACACCGGACAGUCCUGUGCUCGUCGUGCACUGAGGCACUGUGAGGCAAACACUGCCUCCUGCAGACACAUGGACACAGAACGGUGGGACAAAUGACAAUAAUUCAUCAUAGUUUUGAUGUUUCAAGACAGUGUCACACGAAACACUUUCUUUGAUUUCAGACUCCCUGCUGGUGUUACCUGCCACUGUCCGCCUUGAACCAGAGCUGCAGCGCCGUGUCUCUGUGUUCCCUCCACUCGCACUCCACAUGGGACAAGUAGUCGUUGUAGCACUGUAACGAUUUCAGCAACUCUGGGAUGGCAGGGACAAGUGUUGUUUUCAGGGUUUGUGCACAAUAUAUAUUCUGUAGGCAGUCGUGGAAAAAGUGUUUAAUUUAAGGUGCAACAUGCAGAACAAAAUUAGUAAUAGGAUGUGAAGAAACAACCAUUUUGAUGUUAUUAGGUCUACUUAUUGUGUUACAGGGAUAUCAAUUGAAGUUGAGAGCUAAACAGCUAAGGCGUUCUACCUCAAUAAGUGAUGUCCAGUAGCAACACCCAUAACUGCCUGUUGCUGUGAGCUCCCAGUCCAGGCAGAGUCAGCUAUUACGACUGCAAGCUGCAGGGUUAAGCAGCAGCAGAUACAGUUAGCAGCGGUUUCCCUUGUGAUAUGCUGCCCCCCUGUUGUUUGAAUUCACUGCACUUUUAAUUAAAGUGUAGAAAUACCACAA
Molecule: long non-coding RNA, 1107 nt
Organism: Acanthopagrus latus (yellowfin seabream)
Lineage: Eukaryota; Metazoa; Chordata; Actinopteri; Spariformes; Sparidae
Exons: 3
Source: RefSeq, a predicted model, not a curated record